Molecule: ribosomal RNA, 565 nt
Filed under: uncultured bacterium
Lineage: Bacteria
Description: partial 16S ribosomal RNA
Rfam family: Bacterial small subunit ribosomal RNA
Source: RNAcentral
UGGGGAAUAUUGCACAAUGGGCGCAAGCCUGAUGCAGCGACGCCGCGUGGGGGAUGACGGCCUUCGGGUUGUAAACCUCUUUCAGCAGGGACGAAGCGAAAGUGACGGUACCUGCAGAAGAAGCACCGGCCAACUACGUGCCAGCAGCCGCGGUAAUACGUAGGGUGCGAGCGUUGUCCGGAAUUACUGGGCGUAAAGAGCUCGUAGGUGGUUUGUCGCGUUGUUCGUGAAAACCGGGGGGCUUUAACCCCUCGGCGUGCGGGCGAUACGGGCAGACUAGAGUACUGCAGGGGAGACUGGAAUUCCUGGUGUAGCGGUGGAAUGCGCAGAUAUCAGGAGGAACACCGGUGGCGAAGGCGGGUCUCUGGGCAGUAACUGACGCUGAGGAGCGAAAGCGUGGGGAGCGAACAGGAUUAGAUACCCUGGUAGUCCACGCCGUAAACGGUGGGUACUAGGUGUGGGUUUCCUUCCUUGGGAUCCGUGCCGUAGCUAACGCAUUAAGUACCCCGCCUGGGGAGUACGGCCGCAAGGCUAAAACUCAAAGGAAUUGACGGGGUCAUAGCUG